This 454-nucleotide ribosomal RNA is filed under the name uncultured bacterium. RNAcentral describes it as "bacterial SSU rRNA". It matches the Rfam family "Bacterial small subunit ribosomal RNA", at positions 335 to 804 of the family's 1533-position model. The record is from RNAcentral.
ACUCCUACGGGAGGCAGCAGUGGGGAAUAUUGGACAAUGGGGGCAACCCUGAUCCAGCAAUUCUGUGUGCACGAAGAAGGUUUUCGGAUUGUAAAGUGCUUUCAGCAGGGAAGAAGGAAGUGACGGUACCUGCAGAAGAAGCGACGGCUAAAUACGUGCCAGCAGCCGCGGUAAUACGUAUGUCGCGAGCGUUAUCCGGAAUUAUUGGGCAUAAAGGGCAUCUAGGCGGCCUAACAAGUCAGGGGUGAAAACCUGCGGCUCAACCGCAGGCCUGCCUUUGAAACUGUAAGGCUGGAGUACCGGAGAGGUGGACGGAACUGCACGAGUAGAGGUGAAAUUCGUAGAUAUGUGCAGGAAUGCCGAUGAUGAAGAUAGUCCACUGGACGGAAACUGACGCUGAAGUGCGAAAGCCGGGGGAGCGAACAGGAUUAGAAACCCCGGUAGUCCAGAAGUG